CCCCGCUGAAUUUAAGCAUAUCAGUAAGCGGAGGAAAAGAAACUACCAGGAUUCUCCUAGUAACGGCGAGUGAACGGAGAUUAGCCCAUCACCGAAGUCUAUUCACAGUUGUGGACAGGACAAAUGGUGGUGUUAAGGUGCACGCCUGGGAGUCGCUGGCCUGUUCUAAGUCCAAACUCCGAUUGCGGCUUUGGAUGUGUCCAUAGCGGGUGAAAGACCCGUUCGAGCAGGCCUGUGUUUGUUUACGCGAUUCCUAGAUGCGUGUGCUAUCGAGUCGGAUUGCUUGAGAAUGCAGUCCAAAGUGGGUGGUAAACUCCAUCCAAGGCUAAAUACUGGCACGAGUCCGAUAGUAGACAAGUACCGUGAGGGAAAGUUGAAAAGUACUCUGAAGAGAGAGUAAAUAGUACGUGAAACCGGUUGCAGAGAAUCAGGUGGAGUCAAGCUUCAUGCUUGGUUGAUUGCCUUCCGAUCUGUUCGUGUCGGGACGUGAGGUGUGGCAACUUGGAAUAAGUUGGGCGUACUUGUGGGCUUCAAGUGGUUCUGGGUAGCUUGAUCGUCUUUCCUCUAUUUCCCCGAUCGGUUGGUGUAUUUUCCGCUGCAUAAGUCUCGGUUCAUAGUGCUUGUGGAUUGAGAUUGUCUAACAGUGUCCGUGCUGGCUUUUGUUGGCUGGGCGCUGAAGUGGAAGGUAACUCCCCUGGUUCGUCAAGAACCACUGCGUGUUUAUAGGGGUUUCGACCCGCUGGCGAUCAUGAACAUACAUCGGUGCUAUGAUUUUCUUUGGCCUGUCAUCCUACGUGGUGGCA
This 803-nucleotide ribosomal RNA is filed under the name Haliotrema susanae. RNAcentral describes it as "eukaryotic LSU rRNA". The stretch from base 2 to 715 matches the Rfam family "Eukaryotic large subunit ribosomal RNA", at positions 24 to 664 of the family's 3401-position model. Lineage: Eukaryota; Metazoa; Platyhelminthes; Monogenea; Dactylogyridea; Ancyrocephalidae. The record is from RNAcentral.